This 355-nucleotide long non-coding RNA is filed under the name Ananas comosus (pineapple). RNAcentral's name for it is "long non-coding RNA (ACOM_LNC016082)". Lineage: Eukaryota; Viridiplantae; Streptophyta; Magnoliopsida; Poales; Bromeliaceae. The record is from RNAcentral.
AAUUUCAAAUCGAAGUUUGAAAUUAAAUUAGAAUUUAGAAUUCCAAAUGUGAAUUUGAUUUUAAAAUUAAAAAUUUAAAAUGUCACGCCCCGGAUAUCACGUUUCCCAGGCACGCCGACAAAUCCGCCGUAUACAAAGAAAUUUUUUCUGUAUACAAAUCGAUACUGUAACUGUAUCUGUAAUAAUACAACACUACAACCAGUAGUAUAGAGCUGCUAGGGAAAAAGAACAUGCGUAUAUAAUAAAAAUGGAACACGACAUAUACAGUAUCCUGAUACAAAAAUACUCGCUCCAGCGAGGUAUAACAUCAGUAUGUAAUGAACCAAAAACUAUAACUACCUGUAGCUAGUACUCC